Molecule: ribosomal RNA, 162 nt
Filed under: Coptis omeiensis
Lineage: Eukaryota; Viridiplantae; Streptophyta; Magnoliopsida; Ranunculales; Ranunculaceae
Description: 5.8S ribosomal RNA
Rfam family: 5.8S ribosomal RNA
About the family: 5.8S ribosomal RNA (5.8S rRNA) is a component of the large subunit of the eukaryotic ribosome. It is transcribed by RNA polymerase I as part of the 45S precursor that also contains 18S and 28S rRNA.
Source: RNAcentral
AACGACUCUCGGCAACGGAUAUCUAGGCUCUCGCAUCGAUGAAGAACGUAGCGAAAUGCGAUACUUGGUGUGAAUUGCAGAAUCCCGUGAACCAUCGGGUCUUUGAACGCAAGUUGCGCCCGAGGCCUUUAGGCCGAGGGCACGUCUGCCUGGGCGUCACGC